AAACUUUUAACAACGGAUCUCUUGGCUCUCGCAUCGAUGAAGAACGCAGCGAAAUGCGAUAAGUAAUGUGAAUUGCAGAAUUCAGUGAAUCAUCGAAUCUUUGAACGCACCUUGCGCCCUUUGGUAUUCCGAAGGGCAUGCCUGUUUGAGUGUCAUG
Molecule: ribosomal RNA, 157 nt
Filed under: Cryptococcus sp. (in: basidiomycete fungi)
Lineage: Eukaryota; Fungi; Basidiomycota; Tremellomycetes; Tremellales; Cryptococcaceae
Also listed under: 1 other name
Description: Cryptococcus sp. (in: Fungi) 5.8S ribosomal RNA
Rfam family: 5.8S ribosomal RNA
About the family: 5.8S ribosomal RNA (5.8S rRNA) is a component of the large subunit of the eukaryotic ribosome.
Source: RNAcentral